Chrysemys picta bellii (western painted turtle) is the source of this 415-nucleotide non-coding RNA. The record is from RefSeq and is a predicted model, not a curated record. Lineage: Eukaryota; Metazoa; Chordata; Testudines; Emydidae.
UCGCUAGGACCCAGGAGCAGCUGGGAGGCGGCUCUGGGGGGAGCGAUCGCUGGACUCAGGCCCGGCAGCAGGAAGUGACUCGCAGCCGCUGCGGUGACUCUGGCUCCAGGCUCCUGGCGAGAUCCCCGAGCCCCGGCGGCUGGUGCUGGGAGCCCGGAGCCCUGGCUGCAGCCGGGAGAGGGGAAUCUCCAGCAGGGCCCUUCCCGCUGCUCCCCAGGAGCCUAUCCCAGGGCAGAGCCCCCAGCCCGGCCCGGCCCCUGCCCCAGGGGGCCCCGUUCGGAGGGAAGGCUGAGGAAUCGCAUCCACCUUUUGGUUCAGAUGGGCCCGUCUUCCAGGACACAGGGAAGGGAAAUGUCUGUGAUGGAGCCAGCUCAGAUGCCGGUGACCUUCGAGGAGGUGGCUGUGUAUUUCACCC